RNAcentral lists this ribosomal RNA (2899 nucleotides) under Pectobacterium versatile. RNAcentral's name for it is "23S ribosomal RNA". It matches the Rfam family "Bacterial large subunit ribosomal RNA". The record is from RNAcentral. Lineage: Bacteria; Pseudomonadati; Pseudomonadota; Gammaproteobacteria; Enterobacterales; Pectobacteriaceae.
GGUUAAGCGACUAAGCGUACACGGUGGAUGCCUAGGCAGUCAGAGGCGAUGAAGGGCGUGCUAAUCUGCGAUAAGCGUCGGUAAGCUGAUAUGAAGCGUUAUACCCGACGAUACCCGAAUGGGGGAAACCCAGUGUGUUUCGACACACUAUCAUUAUGUGAAUACAUAGCGUAAUGAGGCGAACCGGGGAACUGAAACAUCUCAGUACCCCGAGGAAAAGAAAUCAACCGAGAUUCCCCUAGUAGCGGCGAGCGAACGGGGAGGAGCCCAGAACCUGAAUCAGUUUGUGUGUUAGUGGAAGCGUCUGGAAAGUCGCACAGUAAAGGGUGAUAGUCCCGUACACAAAAAUGCACAAAUUGUGAGUUCGAUGAGUAGGGCGGGACACGUGACAUCCUGUCUGAAUAUGGGGGACCAUCCUCCAAGGCUAAAUACUCCUGACUGACCGAUAGUGAACCAGUACCGUGAGGGAAAGGCGAAAAGAACCCCGGCGAGGGUGAAAUAGAACCUGAAACCGUGUACGUACAAGCAGUGGGAGCCUUGAUUAAUCAGGGUGACUGCGUACCUUUUGUAUAAUGGGUCAGCGACUUAUAUUCUGUAGCAAGGUUAACCGUAUAGGGAGCCGUAGGGAAACCGAGUCUUAACUGGGCGUUAAGUUGCAGGGUAUAGACCCGAAACCCGUGAUUCAGCCAUGGGCAGGUUGAAGGUUGGGUAACACUAACUGGAGGACCGAACCGACUAAUGUUGAAAAAUUAGCGGAUGACUUGUGGCUGGGGUGAAAGGCCAAUCAAACCGGGAGAUAGCUGGUUCUCCCCGAAAGCUAUUUAGGUAGCGCCUCGUGAAUUCAUCUUCGGGGUAGAGCACUGUUUCGGCUAGGGGGUCAUCCCGACUUACCAACCCGAUGCAAACUACGAAUACCGAAGAAUGUUAUCACGGGAGACACACGGCGGGUGCUAACGUUCGUCGUGAAGAGGGAAACAACCCAGACCGCCAGCUAAGGUCCCAAAGUCAUGGUUAAGUGGGAAACGAUGUGGGAAGGCACAGACAGCCGGAUGUUGGCUUAGAAGCAGCCAUCAUUUAAAGAAAGCGUAAUAGCUCACUGGUCGAGUCGGCCUGCGCGGAAGAUGUAACGGGGCUAAACCAUGCACCGAAGCUGCGGCAGCGACACUUAGGUGUUGUUGGGUAGGGGAGCGUUCUGUAAGCCGUCGAAGGUGGCCUGUGAGGGUUGCUGGAGGUAUCAGAAGUGCGAAUGCUGACAUAAGUAACGAUAAUGCGGGUGAAAAACCCGCACGCCGGAAGACCAAGGGUUCCUGUCCAACGUUAAUCGGGGCAGGGUGAGUCGACCCCUAAGGCGAGGCUGAAAAGCGUAGUCGAUGGGAAACAGGUUAAUAUUCCUGUACUCGGUGUUACUGCGAAGGGGGACGGAGAAAGCUAGGUUAUCCGGGCGACGGUUGUCCCGGUUUAAGCGUGAAGGUGGAUGACUUUGGUAAAUCCGGGUCGUCAUUAACACUGAGGCGUGAUGACGAGUCACUACGGUGAUGAAGUAACCAAUGCUACGCUUCCAGGAAAAGCCUCUAAGCUCCGGGUAACAUCAAAUCGUACCCCAAACCGACACAGGUGGUCAGGUAGAGAAUACUCAGGCGCUUGAGAGAACUCGGGUGAAGGAACUAGGCAAAAUGGUGCCGUAACUUCGGGAGAAGGCACGCUGAUGGUAGGUGAAGUGACUUGCUCACGGAGCUGAAAUCAGUCGAAGAUACCAGCUGGCUGCAACUGUUUAAUAAAAACACAGCACUGUGCAAACACGAAAGUGGACGUAUACGGUGUGACGCCUGCCCGGUGCCGGAAGGUUAAUUGAUGGGGUCAGCCGCAAGGCGAAGCUCUUGAUCGAAGCCCCGGUAAACGGCGGCCGUAACUAUAACGGUCCUAAGGUAGCGAAAUUCCUUGUCGGGUAAGUUCCGACCUGCACGAAUGGCGUAAUGAUGGCCGUGCUGUCUCCACCCGAGACUCAGUGAAAUUGAACUCGCUGUGAAGAUGCAGUGUACCCGCGGCAAGACGGAAAGACCCCGUGAACCUUUACUAUAGCUUGACACUGAACCUUGAGCCUUGAUGUGUAGGAUAGGUGGGAGGCUUUGAAGCGUGGACGCCAGUCUGCGUGGAGCCAACCUUGAAAUACCACCCUUUAAUGUUUGAUGUUCUAACGUGGGCCCGUGAUCCGGGUUGCGGACAGUGUCUGGUGGGUAGUUUGACUGGGGCGGUCUCCUCCCAAAGCGUAACGGAGGAGCACGAAGGUUAGCUAAUCUGGUCGGACAUCAGGAGGUUAGUGCAAAGGCAUAAGCUAGCUUGACUGCGAGAGUGACAGCUCGAGCAGGUGCGAAAGCAGGUCUUAGUGAUCCGGUGGUUCUGAAUGGAAGGGCCAUCGCUCAACGGAUAAAAGGUACUCGGGGAUAACAGGCUGAUACCGCCCAAGAGUUCAUAUCGACGGCGGUGUUUGGCACCUCGAUGUCGGCUCAUCACAUCCUCGGGGCUGAAGUAGGUCCCAAGGGUAUGGCUGUUCGCCAUUUAAAGUGGUACGCGAGCUGGGUUUAGAACGUCGUGAGACAGUUCGGUCCCUAUCUGCCGUGGGCGUUGGAAGAUUGAGAGGGGUUGCUCCUAGUACGAGAGGACCGGAGUGAACGCACCACUGGUGUUCGGGUUGUGAUGCCAAUUGCAUUGCCCGGUAGCUAAGUGCGGAAGAGAUAACCGCUGAAAGCAUCUAAGCGGGAAACUUGCCUCGAGAUGAGUCUUCCCCUGGCACUAGAUGCCCCUGAAGGGCCGUUGAAGACUACGACGUAGAUAGGCUGGGUGUGUAAGCGUAGCGAUACGUUGAGCUAACCAGUACUAAUGACCCGAGAGGCUUAACCUU